CCACCUCAAUUCCAGAAGACAGUUUAACAAAUAUCAAUUUAAACGGAAAUGAAGGAGGAAACUGCGGGGCACAGAGAUGAAGUACACAAGGUUCCUGACAUUCAGGAGCUCGCCCACGGCCCCAGACGCUACGGACUGGCACUUAGUGGCACUAAGGCACUUCAGGCGAUGAUUCUGUGGAGUUGUUUUCUGCCAUGGCAGGACGCAGCUCCAAGCAUCUGAAGAUUUAUGUGAUAUACAGAGAAGAAAAUCACCCUCGUGUGAUACAUAUGGAAAAUGGGUUAAAAAAAAAAAUCAAGUGACAAAUCUCGGUAGGAUUAUCAACUUGAGGACACUUGUCAAGCAGUAUCCCCACAGGAGUCAUCUUACUUAAUUUUUUUGUCAACAACUUGGUUAAGUGGAUUUUAUAAAUGAUUCAAAAUAUGUCUAAGUGGCUGGAACUAGAAGCAAAAAUGGUCUUUAAAACAACCUUGAUAGCGUUUCCUGCUGAUAGACAAGGGGGCGGAGAUGAUGAACGUUCCCAAAGCGACAGAUCCUUCUUCACAAGGGAAGACGGUUGUAUGAAGGUUUAACAUGUUGAGCCCAGCUGCUAAGAAAUUCUAUUCAUUCUAGGAUGCUAGAAAUUUGAACUCAGGGGAAAGAGGAGAAAAAGUCUGGGAGAUGAAGCCUGGCCUACACUGUAUAACUUUGGUUUUACAAGGAAACAAUGAAAAUAUUGACGUUGAAAUGCCCCCUAAUAAAGCCCUGGGGUGUCCCAGUUGGUGAUUUAUAGCCUCUCAGCUCCAAAUUCUCUCUUCAUGGCUUUGCACGUCGUGCUGGAGCCGGAUCCUGAGGACCUUUGUGCUCUGCCAGGUGGCCCAAUGCAGAGCUUUGUCACAGGGGGUGCUGCAGGAGAGGUGCGGGAGGCAGUGGUUUGUCUUCCUGGUUCUGGUGUUUUCCUCUCUCUCCUUGUUCCUGCAGCAGCGGGGACAUCCUGUGGCACUCAUCUCCGUCGAUUUCAGCAGUCCCCUUACGGGUGAAGGUUACUAGAGAUUUCUGCCAGAGCCCCAGCUGGCUUCCUAGAAAGUACGAUGCCCCCCACCAGCAGCUUCCUGAGCAGUUGGCCAGCGACCCAACUGGAUGCCAGAGGGUGGAAUGUAAUCAGCAUCUCACUGAACUUCUGUGCUAGCCAGAGGGCCAUAACCGCACCCUCUUCAAUAAGGCCUGCACCUCAAUUUGGCUAUCAUAAAGCCCUCUUCCAAGUUUGUUCCUUCCUUGGGUGGUCUGCCUCAGUCCUAGGUAAGAGCUGCUCCUUGUAUCUGUUAUUUGUAUAAUCUUGGGAGUUUCUUAACUCCUUAUUGUAACGAAUUCUCUGUUAGUGGUUAGUAAUUCUUCACAUUAAACUUUCCCUGUUCAUUGCUG
Long non-coding RNA from Neofelis nebulosa (Clouded leopard), 1401 nucleotides. RefSeq lists it as uncharacterized. The transcript has 2 exons. Lineage: Eukaryota; Metazoa; Chordata; Mammalia; Carnivora; Felidae. The record is from RefSeq and is a predicted model, not a curated record.